Molecule: small nucleolar RNA, 84 nt
Organism: Hippoglossus stenolepis (Pacific halibut)
Lineage: Eukaryota; Metazoa; Chordata; Actinopteri; Pleuronectiformes; Pleuronectidae
Product: small nucleolar SNORD12/SNORD106
Exons: 1
Source: RefSeq, a predicted model, not a curated record
GUGGUUAAUGAUGUACACUCUUUCCCCGUCUGAUCGACUAUGCUGAUUCACGACUUACAUAAGCCAAUUAUAUUCUGAAACCAC